AGUGAACGCUGGCGGUAGGCCUAACACAUGCCAGUCGAAUGGCAGCACAGUAAGAGCUUGCUCUUACGGGUGGCGAGUGGCGGACGGGUGAGGAAUACAUCGGAAUCUACUUUUUCGUGGGGGAUAACGUAGGGAAACUUACGCUAAUACCGCAUACGACCUACGGGUGAAAGCAGGGGAUCUUCGGACCUUGCGCGAUUGAAUGAGCCGAUGUCGGAUUGGCUAGUUGGCGGGGUAAAGGCCCACCAAGGCGACGAUCCGUAGCUGGUCUGAGAGGAUGAUCAGCCACACUGGAACUGAGACACGGUCCAGACUCCUACGGGAGGCAGCAGUGGGGAAUAUUGGACAAUGGGCGCAAGCCUGAUCCAGCCAUACCGCGUGGGUGAAGAAGGCCGUCGGGUUGUAAAGCCCUUUUGUUGGGAAAGAAAAGCAGCAGGUUAAUACCCCGCUGUUCUGACGGUACCCAAAGAAUAAGCACCGGCUAACUUCG
This 490-nucleotide ribosomal RNA is filed under the name uncultured bacterium. Its description in RNAcentral is "partial 16S ribosomal RNA". It matches the Rfam family "Bacterial small subunit ribosomal RNA", at positions 29 to 505 of the family's 1533-position model. The record is from RNAcentral.